This 763-nucleotide ribosomal RNA is filed under the name uncultured bacterium. RNAcentral describes it as "bacterial SSU rRNA". It matches the Rfam family "Bacterial small subunit ribosomal RNA", at positions 8 to 796 of the family's 1533-position model. The record is from RNAcentral.
AGAGUUUGAUCCUGGCUCAGGAUGAACGUUGGCGGCGUGCCUAACACAUGCAAGUCGAACGGAAAUAGCAAUAUUUGAGUGGCGCACGGGUGAGUAACACGUAGCUAAUCUACCUCAAAGCGUGGGAUAACGUGUCGAAAGACAGGCUAAUACCGCAUAAGCUCGCAACCUGUAGAGGGUUGCGAGAAAAGGCGUAAGUCACUUUGAGAUGAGGCUGCGGCCCAUCAGCUAGUUGGGGUGGUAAAAGCACACCAAGGCGACGACGGGUAGGGGACCUGAGAGGGUGACCCCCCACACUGGGACUGAGACACGGCCCAGACUCCUACGGGAGGCAGCAGUGAGGAAUAUUGCACAAUGGGCGCAAGCCUGAUGCAGCGACGCCGCGUGGGUGAAGAAGGUUUUUGGAUCGUAAAACCCUUUUCUGUGUGACGAGCAAGGACGGUAGCACAGGAAUAAGUCUCGGCUAACUACGUGCCAGCAGCCGCGGUAAAACGUAGGAGACAAACGUUAUCCGGAGUUACUGGGCGUAAAGGGCGUGUAGGUGGUUUUGUAAGUCUGGCGUGAAAUUUUUCGGCUUAACCGGGAAAGGUCGUCGGAUACUGCAGGACUAGAGGACGGUAGAGGCGUGUGGAAUUCCGGGUGUAGUGGUGAAAUGCGUAGAGAUCCGGAGGAACACCAGUGGCGAAGGCGACACGCUGGGCCGUACCUGACACUGAUGCGCGACAGCAUGGGGAGCAAACAGGAUUAGAUACCCUGGUAGUCC